This 548-nucleotide ribosomal RNA is filed under the name uncultured fungus. RNAcentral describes it as "eukaryotic LSU rRNA". The stretch from base 196 to 349 matches the Rfam family "5.8S ribosomal RNA". Lineage: Eukaryota; Fungi. The record is from RNAcentral.
CGUACAGGUCUCCGUAGGUGAACCUGCGGAGGNAUCAUUACAAGAACGCCCGGGCUUCGGCCUGGNUAUUCAUAACCCUUUGUUGUCCGGCUCUGUUGCCUCCGGGGCGACCCUGCCUUCGGGCGGGGGCUCCGGGUGGACACUUCAAACUCUUGCGUAACUUUGCAGUCUGAGUAAACUUAAUUAAUAAAUUAAAACUUUUAACAACGGAUCUCUUGGUUCUGGCAUCGAUGAAGAACGCAGCGAAAUGCGAUAAGUAAUGUGAAUUGCAGAAUUCAGUGAAUCAUCGAAUCUUUGAACGCACAUUGCGCCCCCUGGUAUUCCGGGGGGCAUGCCUGUUCGAGCGUCAUUUCACCACUCAAGCCUCGCUUGGUAUUGGGCAACGCGGUCCGCCGCGUGCCUCAAAUCGUCCGGCUGGGUCUUCUGUCCCCUAAGCGUUGUGGAAACUAUUCGCUAAAGGGUGUUCGGGAGGCUACGCCGUAAAACAACCCCAUUUCUAAGGUUGACCUCGGAUCAGGUAGGGAUACCCGCUGAACUUAAGCAUAUCA